UAAUACGAAGGGGGCUAGCGUUGCUCGGAAUUACUGGGCGUAAAGGGAGCGUAGGCGGACAUUUAAGUCAGGGGUGAAAUCCCGGGGCUCAACCUCGGAAUUGCCUUUGAUACUGGGUGUCUUGAGUAUGAGAGAGGUGUGUGGAACUCCGAGUGUAGAGGUGAAAUUCGUAGAUAUUCGGAAGAACACCAGUGGCGAAGGCGACACACUGGCUCAUUACUGACGCUGAGGCUCGAAAGCGUGGGGAGCAAACAGGAUUAGAUACCCUGGUAGUCCACGCCGUAAACGAUGAUUGCUAGUUGUCGGGAUGCAUGCAUUUCGGUGACGCAGCUAACGCAUUAAGCAAUCCGCCUGGGGAGUACGGUCGCAAGAUUA
Molecule: ribosomal RNA, 375 nt
Filed under: uncultured bacterium
Lineage: Bacteria
Description: bacterial SSU rRNA
Rfam family: Bacterial small subunit ribosomal RNA
Source: RNAcentral